Molecule: transfer-messenger RNA, 135 nt
Filed under: Arenicellales bacterium
Lineage: Bacteria; Pseudomonadati; Pseudomonadota; Gammaproteobacteria; Arenicellales
Description: partial transfer-messenger RNA
Rfam family: transfer-messenger RNA
About the family: Bacterial tmRNA, also known as 10Sa RNA or SsrA, is named for its dual tRNA and mRNA-like properties. Its role is to liberate the mRNA from a stalled ribosome.
Source: RNAcentral
CAAACUUAAGCGGGCUCGCCGGCCGUGACCCUGUCUGUCGGGGCACGUACGGUCAAAACAUUGACAGACUAAACAUGUAGCUGCCGGUGUGUGGCGGAUUUACGGACGCGGGUUCGAUUCCCGCCGCCUCCACCA